GGAUCCGACUUUGAUCAUGGCUCAGGAUGAACGCUAGCUACAGGCUUAACACAUGCAAGUCGAGGGGAAACGACAUCGAAAGCUUGCUUUUGAUGGGCGUCGACCGGCGCACGGGUGAGUAACGCGUAUCCAACCUGCCCACCUCUUGGGGAUAACCUUGCGAAAGUAAGACUAAUACCCAAUGACGUCUCUAGAAGACAUCUGAAAGGGAUUAAAGAUUUAUCGGUGAUGGAUGGGGAUGCGUCUGAUUAGCUUGUUGGCGGGGUAACGGCCCACCAAGGCUACGAUCAGUAGGGGUUCUGAGAGGAAGGUCCCCCACAUUGGAACUGAGACACGGUCCAAACUCCUACGGGAGGCAGCAGUGAGGAAUAUUGGUCAAUGGACGAGAGUCUGAACCAGCCAAGUAGCGUGCAGGAUGACGGCCCUAUGGGUUGUAAACUGCUUUUAUAAGGGAAUAAAGUGAGUCUCGUGAGGCUUUUUGCAUGUACCUUAUGAAUAAGGACCGGCUAAUUCCGUGCCAGCAGCCGCGGUAAUACGGAAGGUCCGGGCGUUAUCCGGAUUUAUUGGGUUUAAAGGGAGCGUAGGCCGGAGAUUAAGCGUGUUGUGAAAUGUAGAUGCUCAACAUCUGCACUGCAGCGCGAACUGGUUUCCUUGAGUACGCACAAAGUGGGCGGAAUUCGUGGUGUAGCGGUGAAAUGCUUAGAUAUCACGAAGAACUCCGAUUGCGAAGGCAGCUCACUGGAGCGCAACUGACGCUGAAGCUCGAAAGUGCGGGUAUCGAACAGGAUUAGAUACCCUGGUAGUCCGCACGGUAAACGAUGGAUGCCCGCUGUUGGUCUGAAUAGGUCAGCGGCCAAGCGAAAGCAUUAAGCAUCCCACCUGGGGAGUACGCCGGCAACGGUGCAACUCAAAGGAAUUGACGG
This 923-nucleotide ribosomal RNA is filed under the name uncultured Bacteroidota bacterium. RNAcentral's name for it is "bacterial SSU rRNA". It matches the Rfam family "Bacterial small subunit ribosomal RNA", at positions 1 to 916 of the family's 1533-position model. The record is from RNAcentral. Lineage: Bacteria; Pseudomonadati; Bacteroidota.